CCUACGGGUGGCAGCAGUGGGGGAUAUUGCACAAUGGACGAAACUCUGAUGCAGCGACGCCGCGUGAGGGAAUACGGUCUUCGGAUUGUUAACCUCUGUCUUUGGGGAAGAAAAUGACGGUACCAAAAGACGAAGCUCCGGCUCACUAAGUGCCAGCAGCGCCGGUAAUACGUCGGGAGCGAGCGUUGUCCGGAAUGACUGGGUGUAAAGGGAGCGUAGGCGGGCGAGAAAGUUGAAUGUUAAAUCUAUCGGCUUAACUGGGAGCUGCGUUUAAAACUGCUUGUCGUGAGUGAAGUAGAGGCAGGCGGAAUUCCUGGUGUAGCGGUGAAAGGCGUAGAUAUUAGGAGGAACACCAGUGGCGAAGGCGGCCUGCUGGGCUUUAACUGACGCUGAGGCUCGAAAGCGUGGGGAGCAAACAGGAUUAGAUACCCGGGUAGUC
Molecule: ribosomal RNA, 439 nt
Filed under: uncultured bacterium
Lineage: Bacteria
Description: partial 16S ribosomal RNA
Rfam family: Bacterial small subunit ribosomal RNA
Source: RNAcentral